Unclassified non-coding RNA from Vigna unguiculata (cowpea), 1178 nucleotides. The record is from RefSeq and is a predicted model, not a curated record. Lineage: Eukaryota; Viridiplantae; Streptophyta; Magnoliopsida; Fabales; Fabaceae.
AAUAACCAACUUCAUCAUGGCUUCUUCUUUCUCUUCCCAUAAAAACACUACGUGAUCCACUCUCUCCCAUUAUUCCCACUGCCAUGAAGAGAAACUGCUAUCUGGAUCUUCGUUUUCGCUCUUCCUCUGCUUCCUCAUCACCCCACCAUUCAAUAACUUUGUAGGAAUGAGCUGUUGAACAUGAACAAAAAAGUUGUGGCCAUUCCACAUGCUGCUGCUGCUCGCCACAUGCUUGACGUCACAGAACUUCAGGCAAGGGUGAUAAUAUGGUUGGCUAGUCAAGAAAUGGAUGGUAGCAGCAGAGGAGCAGCUUCUGCCACGUCGCUUUCGUUGCAGUCACAACCGUUGCUAAUGCAUGCCCCCCAAGGCUUCUCAAUUAAGACUUCCCUGCGGAAUUUCCUUCACAAGAGAAAGAAAAGGUCCCAAAAGUCACACGCCCAUUAGCACUACCUACUCAUUUUUUCACAUCCAUUUUUUUUUUUUUAUCAUUCAUUUUAGUUACACCCACUCAAAAUAAUAAUAAUAAUAAUAAUAAUAAUAAUAAUAAUAAUAAUAAUAAUCAUCUAUUCUUGAGUGUAAGGUGAUGUAAAGUCAAAUUAAAGCUUAUGCCAACCAAAAAUAUCUUUCAUCCAUUUCAGUCCUCUGGGAGACCAACAUCUCAAUACCACUUUUCCACUUCCUAAUAAUAAAUGAAAAAAAGGACCGUUGCUGAUUGGAAAGUUUGAAUCUCGAUGGUGCUACCUUAUGUUGAACCAAAUGAGUGUACUCUUAUGAAAAGGAUGUUUGAUUUUAAUUAAUGUUUUAAAUCCAUUAAAUGUGUUUAGAAUUUUAAUGAUUUUCUUUUCCUAAACGGUAUUCCUAUUGCAUCCAUUUAGAGCACCCAAUUAUUGGUUGAAAUUGGCAUAAGCAAGCAAGAAAGUGUGGAUGGGUGGCAUUGCAUUAACCAAAGAGAAGAAAAUAGGAAAAAGUGAAGACAAUAGGCAUGUGGAGGAGUUUGAGAAUCUCUGAACAAAAAUGAAAGAAAAGUACAUGGCGCGCGAAACAAUUAAGAAAAACACAAUGACUGGUGGCUUUUCAAAUUCCUAAAAAACAUUAGAAUGUUUUCAAAAAAAAAAAAAAAUUCUGAUGCGUAAAAAAACAAUAAGUUUAAAAAUACAAUUCAACUUUUAUAUUACUUU